UACAGAGGGUGCGAGCGUUGUCCGGAAUCACUGGGCGUAAAGGGCGCGUAGGUGGUGGCUUAAGCGUGCGGUGAAAGCUCGGGGCUCAACCCCGAGUCGGCCGUGCGAACUGGGCUCACUGGAGCAUAGUAGAGGCAGGUGGAAUUCCGGGUGUAGCGGUGGAAUGCGUAGAGAUCCGGAGGAACACCGGUGGCGAAGGCGGCCUGCUGGGCUAUGGCUGACACUGAGGCGCGACAGCGUGGGGAGCAAACAGG
This 254-nucleotide ribosomal RNA is filed under the name uncultured bacterium. Its description in RNAcentral is "partial 16S ribosomal RNA". It matches the Rfam family "Bacterial small subunit ribosomal RNA", at positions 524 to 776 of the family's 1533-position model. The record is from RNAcentral.